UAGUACUCAAAGGUACCGUUUAGUUCGGGUAUAAACAAGAACUAGCUAUUACAGGGAUAAGUACAAGUAUGAGGAUAAGAAAAAAAGUGUUUGGAUGAAAAUUGGGUUGUUCUCGGGGAUAAGAAUAAUUUUAAAUAGUUUUGUAUAGAAAAUGAAGGUGUUGGUGGGGAUAAUCGAAAAUUACUAUUCUCGGAUAAAAAAUUAACGUUUUGGUAUAAAAGGGGGGAUAAGGGCCUAUUUCUAUCCCUCCCUAUUCCCUAACCAAACGGUGCCAAAAAGAGGCAAAAAAAAGUAAAAUAAAAUAAAAUAAAAUAU
RNAcentral lists this long non-coding RNA (315 nucleotides) under Ananas comosus (pineapple). RNAcentral describes it as "long non-coding RNA (ACOM_LNC017344)". Lineage: Eukaryota; Viridiplantae; Streptophyta; Magnoliopsida; Poales; Bromeliaceae. The record is from RNAcentral.